This 148-nucleotide non-coding RNA is filed under the name Chlorocebus sabaeus (green monkey). Lineage: Eukaryota; Metazoa; Chordata; Mammalia; Primates; Cercopithecidae. The record is from Rfam by way of RNAcentral.
GCCAGGCAUGGUGGCUCAUGCCUGUAGUCCCAACUACUCAGGAGGCUGAGGUGAGAGGAUUGCUUGAGCCCAGGAGUUAGAGGCUGCAGUGAGCCAUGAUCAUGCCACUGUAUUCCAGCCUGGGCAACAGAGCAAGACCCUGCCUCAU